This is a non-coding RNA of Enhydra lutris kenyoni (northern sea otter), 426 nucleotides long. Lineage: Eukaryota; Metazoa; Chordata; Mammalia; Carnivora; Mustelidae. The record is from the annotation of a RefSeq genome assembly.
CACAGAGAACUCACCAUGGAAUUUCUGCUUGGCUGGGUUUUCCUUGUUGCUCUUUUAAAAGGUGUCCAGUGUGAAGUGCAGCUGGUGGAGUCUGGGGGAGACCUGGUGAAGCCUGGGGGGUCCCUGAGACUCUCCUGUGAAGCCUUUGGAUUCACCUUCAGUAGCUACAGCAUGAGCUGGGUCCACCAGGCUCCAGGGAAGGGGCUGCAGUGGGUCACAUGGAUUAGGAGUGAUGGAAGUAGCAUAUACUACACAGACUCUGUGAAGGGCCGAUUCACCAUCUCCAGAGACAAUGGCAAGAACACGCUGUAUCUGCAGAUGGACAGCCUGAGACCCGAGGAUACGGCCAUGUAUUACUGUGCAACACACACAGUGAGGGGACAUCAGUGUAAGCCCAGACACAAACCUCAAACUACAAGGGUAUAA